UUGUAGCCUGCUAUGGUAUAACUUAGUGGCAGACGGGUGAGUAAUGUAUAGGAAUCUACCUAGUAGUACGGAAUAAUUGUUGGAAACGGCAACUAAUACCGUAUACGCCCUACGGGGGAAAAAUUUAUUGCUAUUAGAUGAGCCUAUAUUAGAUUAGCUAGUUGGUGGAGUAAUAGCCUACCAAGGCAAUGAUCUAUAGCUGAUCUGAGAGGAUGAUCAGCCACACUGGAACUGAGAUACGGUCCAGACUUCUACGGGAGGCAGCAGUGGGGAAUAUUGGACAAUGGGCGAAAGCCUGAUCCAGCCAUGUCGCAUGAGUGAAGAAGGCCUUUGGGUUGUAAAGCUCUUUUAGUGAGGAAGAUAAUGACGGUACUCACAGAAGAAGUCCUGGCUAACUCCGUGCCAGCAGCCGCGGUAAUACGGAGAGGGCUAGCGUUAUUCGGAAUUAUUGGGCGUAAAGGGCGCGUAGGCUGAUUAAUAAGUUAAAAGUGAAAUCCCGAGGCUUAACCUUGGAAUUGCUUUUAAAACUAUUAAUCUAGAGAUUGAAAGAGGAUAGAGGAAUUCCUGAUGUAGAGGUAAAAUUCGUAAAUAUUAGGAGGAACACCAGUGGCGAAGGCGUCUAUCUGGUUCAAAUCUGACGCUGAGGCGCGAAGGCGUGGGGAGCAAACAGGAUUAGAUACCCUGGUAGUCCACGCUGUAAACGAUGAAUGUUAAAUAUGGGAAGUUUACUUUCUGUAUUACAGCUAACGCGUUAAACAUUCCGCCUGGGGACUACGGUCGCAAGAUUAAAACUCAAAGGAAUUGACGGGGACCCGCACAAGCGGUGGAGCAUGUGGUUUAAUUCGAUGCAACGCGAAAAACCUUACCACUUCUUGACAUGAAAAUCAUACCUAUUC
This 896-nucleotide ribosomal RNA is filed under the name Wolbachia pipientis. RNAcentral's name for it is "bacterial SSU rRNA". It matches the Rfam family "Bacterial small subunit ribosomal RNA", at positions 73 to 1002 of the family's 1533-position model. Lineage: Bacteria; Pseudomonadati; Pseudomonadota; Alphaproteobacteria; Rickettsiales; Anaplasmataceae. The record is from RNAcentral.